CACUGCCGAGAAAAGCCUCUAGAUAGAAAAUAGGUGCCCGUACCGCAAACCGACACAGGUAGUCAAGAUGAGAAUUCUAAGGUGAGCGAGCGAACUCUCGUUAAGGAACUCGGCAAAAUGACCCCGUAACUUCGGGAGAAGGGGUGCUCUUUAGGGUUAACGCCCAGAAGAGCCGCAGUGAAUAGGCCCAAGCGACUGUUUAUCAAAAACACAGGUCUCUGCUAAACCGUAAGGUGAUGUAUAGGGGCUGACGCCUGCCCGGUGCUGGAAGGUUAAGAGGAGUGGUUAGCUUCUGCGAAGCUACGAAUCGAAGCCCCAGUAAACGGCGGCCGUAACUAUAACGGUCCUAAGGUAGCGAAAUUCCUUGUCGGGUAAGUUCCGACCCGCACGAAAGGCGUAACGAUUUGGGCACUGUCUCAACGAGAGACUCGGUGAAAUCAUAGUACCUGUGAAGAUGCAGGUUACCCGCGACAGGACGGAAAGACCCCGUGGAGCUUUACUGUAGCCUGAUAUUGAAAUUCGGCACAGCUUGUACAGGAUAGGUAGGAGCCUU
RNAcentral lists this ribosomal RNA (553 nucleotides) under Staphylococcus aureus. RNAcentral describes it as "partial 23S ribosomal RNA". It matches the Rfam family "Bacterial large subunit ribosomal RNA", at positions 1603 to 2157 of the family's 2925-position model. The record is from RNAcentral. Lineage: Bacteria; Bacillati; Bacillota; Bacilli; Caryophanales; Staphylococcaceae.